Long non-coding RNA from Heterocephalus glaber (naked mole-rat), 5412 nucleotides. NCBI's taxonomy places the organism in Eukaryota, Metazoa, Chordata, Mammalia, Rodentia, Bathyergidae. The record is from Ensembl.
GGGAGAGGGAGAGGGAGAGGGAUCGAGCUAGGGAAGAGAGAAGGAGGGGAGAGGAGAGAGAAGGAGAGAGAGAGAGAGAGAGACGGGGGGAGGGAGAGAGAGAGAGAGGCGCAGAGGGAGGGAGGGAAACCAAACCCCUGCCUUUACUGCCUUGAAAGCUUCUGAAUUUCAAGCAGAAAGUAGGAGCCCCGUAAGGCACUGAGUGUCUCUCCUUGGGCUGCGCGUUCGGAGCGAAGACAAUGAAAACCUCCACCCCCUCCCCCAUCCCUGCCAGACUGCGAUAUUUUUGUUUUCGUUCGUUCUCAACAGUGGAAGAUAAUGUAAAAUCAAAUAUAUAGACAAGUGUAGAUAUUUUUAAAAACAAAAACAACCCAACGGGCUGGGACGCGGAUUACCCAAACGCACGCCGGCUGGGCGCCUUCUGGGGUCUCCGCGCAGCACUGGCUCUGGGCGCUCUCUCCGUUCCUCGGACGCAGCCCGAGCGGGCCGCUCCUUCCGGCCCACCGCGCCGUGGGGACGCCGCGAACAGAGCUGCCGCCCCGGCCGCCUCCGCCCGCCGCCCGCCGCCUCCGCCCGCCGCCCCCGGGGCUCCGCCCGCUGAGGUCCACUCCCCUCACCCUCCUUUCUCCUGCCUGCCCUCCCUCGGCGGGCCGAGCACUUUCAGCCUCAGACCUCAAGCCGAAGUCCGAGGAGUGCGUGUCUGCUGCGCUGCUUCCAGCCGAAAUCCCCCGGUCCGGCCCAGACCCAGGGUCCGCACUCGGGGCGGUGGGGAAGCCUUAAGAGCAGGCUUUUCUCUAUGCAGCAAAAUCGUCCCCAGACCAGAUGGGCGGCCCAGCUCUCCCGGGACCAGGCAGGUGCGGUUGAGUUAAUUUUUCCGCAUUACAAAGAAAGAUGACCCGAGCGCCCUUGGAUUCUCAUCUUUUCCCAAAAUUUCCCUAGCCAAACUGCGGUAACAUUAUCGGAAGACCCCAGGACGAGGCGAAUCCGUGUGUUUCUCUUACAUACACACACGCAUGUUAAUUUUUUCCCUUUUACAUGCUAGAUUUCUUCCUCAGAAGCAGAAAUGAUUGACGAAGGGUUCCACAACAGAUCAUGGGACGGCGGGGUCCUUAAACCCUGACAUUCUCUACCAGUGCCUUAGGAAGGAGUCAAGGUGAAGCGCUUCGGAUAAUUGCCUUCAGUAAAAUAACACGAUUGCAAAAUUAUAUCUCUGCCUGCGGGGCAAUUAACUUCGAUCCGUGCCAUCAUUUGAAAAGUAGAUUUACAAGCGAAUGUAUGUUUUUAGGUGUGCUGUAAAUGGCAUGCAGAUAUAUGCAUGUGUACACGCAGACACAUGAAUACUCUAGACUUCUACCCAGCAGACUCAUUAACAGCGGCUCUGGGCUCUGGCAGAUGUGGCUGGAGGCGAGCUCAGGCGGCAGCAGGCGCGUGAGUUAGGACCUUGGGAGAAGGGACCCAGAGCUCCGGGGAGGGGAAGGGCAAGAAGAGAACUGUGGUAGUUUUGGCGGGUCAGUUACUUUCCGGAUCAAGAACAGAGACUCUGCCCUCCGUGUUCACAGCGGACCUUGAUUUAAUGUCAUACAAUUAAGGCACGCGGUGAAUGCCAAGAGCGGAGCCUAAGGCUCACCUAGAGAAUGCUAGAGCGUUUAAGAGGCGGCAAGGGGAAGAGACUAUGGCUGGGGAUCGUGGAGAGUGGUAUCAUGAAGCCAUCCCUUGCCACAUAAAUGCCGCCGCAUUGAUUGCAGAGAUGAGCUAGUGUUUUGAAGUGAAAGAGUCGCACUUUUUAGUAAAAGCCUCCGAAAUCCGGAGGCAAAUUCCCAAGGUGGAUUUUAGGGGCUUCAUCGACAGCUGUCAGGAGAGCAGUAGUUCCCAUUUGUGCAAAUAUCCCACAGAAGCGUUUAGAGAGAACUGGCUUUUCAACACAUGAAUCUGCAAUCUGGGUCAGAUGGCGAAACAAAAUAGAAGAGAGGGGAGUAUAGCACAGAUUAUGGUACCAUAACCACACGGAACAAGAAAUCUAAAAUUGUUUAACUCUGGAGCGAAGAUGGAAACAACAGCCCCCGCUCGACCUGGCCUUGACUUCUCCCUUUCUCCUUCCAAUCUGGAGUCCUCGGCCUCCUUACCUUUAAAACGCGAGCAUAGCUUCCUUGUUUUGGUGCUGUCACAAAGGCCAAAAUCAGUAAAAAGAAUAGAAUAGGGUGAAAGACCGAGUUCAGAAACUUUACAAGGAUGUGGUAAAUUAUUUGGAAGCCAGUGAGGUAGACUGACUGUUCGGGCAGUAGUUCCACACCUCGGCCUUGGAGCCUAAGGAAAACCUAGGCUGAAAAAGCUUGCCUUGAGAGAUGUCUUUGUUCUGCCUUGGCCUGCAGUGGCUGGGAACAAAGGAGUGCGGCUUCGAGGAUGCUCCCGAGUGGCCGCGCCCUCCGCGCCUGGCGCUGUCCGUGGUGCUGACCCCCUUCUCGCUCCCUAGUUCAACCAGAAAAGCAGUAGGUCUCACUUCCACCCGAAAGAGUAACAGGGUGUUAGGUAAUUUACUAAAUAAAAAUUAAAAAGAGGGAGAGGUCACAUAUAGCGAAACAACAUUUUACCGAAAUUGUACACUAGCUAUUGCCACACUUGAGCUUACUUUUCCAUCUUCAGUAGGUACUCACCUUCAGACAGUGUAUGUACAUUGGAACACAAUUUAAGUUGGUUUAGACUGAAACCUAAAUACGUAAAAACAAGGAGCCAGGCUUGCAAGAAAGAGAAGCAGAAUGAAGGGUUUUUAUUAUUGUUUUCUUUCUUAUAUCGUCUCCCUUAAAAUAUGGAAACAAAGUCCUCAACUGCGGAUCUUAGUGCUGAUGUAGUUAUCAGAGAGACUCUGAACAGACUCCAGUGUGGACUUCAAGAUUUGCCAGGAAGGAACAGGAUUGGGAGUGACUAAGUGAGACCUGGCAGUAGCCAAUGCAGCCUGGAAACGAGGAACAGGCUAGUAGCAGGACAGCCUUCUUAUGUCGGCCCAGGAGGCCAAGCUCCCGGACAUCUCCCGGCCACCGGUGCACCGGACUCUGCUCAGCGCAUCCCCGCCAGCGGGAGGCACUGCAGCAUCUGAAGGCCUGAAACCCGCACUGCGGAAAAAUCAGCCACAGCAGCAUCCUUCUGUUAGUCUCUGCCUGCCUACCGGAAAUAGGCAGAAUGGCUUAGUAAAUCCCAUGCAAUGAAGAUUUACUUUAGUACUGUAGUAGUGGAGGGUUGGAUGUGUGGGUAUUGAUAUUUUCAACAAAUUUUAAAAUUCUCAGCAUAUUUCAUUAUCCCAACUUAGCUAUUGAGAGUAUUAAAUAUAAACAAUAACAUUUAAAUGCCCUAAUUAAUGAAUUAAAAGGGAAAGAAAGAAAUAGGAAAUAAAUGUGUAGCCAGUCUGGGCUCAAAAAAGAUAUUGCUGCGUUUUUUAUGUGUUAGUUUAUAAAGUCACUGACGUAAACCUUGUUAAAAUAAGUAACAGAUAAAAUGAUAUAGAUUGGGUAAUAGAGGCAGCAACACUGAUUUUUUAAUGCAGAUGUUGAAAUGGGUCAUACAUUGACAAUAGCCUAAAAGAGAUAUUUUCAUUACAUUUGUUGUUUUACACCUGAAUGAUGAAGAUGCAUCAAAUGAUUCAGGAAAUGAAAGCAGCCAAGCACAAUAUCCUCAGCAGUCUAUCUCUUUGCCCCCAGCCUUGGGGCAGAUUUUAUUUUCCUCUCAUUUUAGAGCUCUGUGAGUGUUUCGUAUGCAAUAAUUAUUUAAGUUUACAUUUAAUUUUAUAUAACUUGAGAAAAAGUAGGUAAAACAUUGGGAAAAAAGAGUUACCAAGUAAAUGAAGAAGAUAAGGAAGAGGUUGGGAUUAUUUUUCUUCUGCCAAUUUAAAGUAGCCAUUGAAAAUCGAAAUGGACUUAAGCAACAGAGGUUAUCACAGAUGACUCCACUUCCUUCCAGUAGUCAUUCAAUUCCCUUGAUUUUCUGCAUCUCCCCAUGUGAAUUUCCCAAAGCAACCAUCUAAAGAGGCGAACUAUUUCUGCUUGCAUUCUGUUGUAACUCAUUACAUAAUAAGAGCACACCUAAUCCCCCACACUCUAAUCCUACCUGUUUAACACAGUUCUAAACUCUAGAUUUAAAAAGCUUAAUCACUUUUAAAAAUUGCUUUCUAGAAGAAAAUAAAAUAUAUGAUAUGAGUGUUACUGCCUAAAUAAGGGAAUGAACACACAAUUUAGAAAUGUAGUUGCCAAGAUUAAGUUCAGAGUGGUUAUUGAUCCAUAAUGUCUCAAGAUUUUAAGACUAUUUUCAGUUGCUUUCAAAAAUAAGCAUCCAGUUUAAUGCCUAUUACAAAUGUUUCCUGCUAUGAAAUUCUAUGCUCAGAAGUUUUGUAAUAAAACAACCCAGGCUUCUCAAUUGGAGAACUUCUGCACAGCGUGCUGUAGGAGUCCUUUAACAAUCACAACUUUCAUCUAGUGGACUGAAAUUAAAGCUUCUCAGAAUAAUUUAGGAACAAUUUGACCCAUUGAGAUACUCAAGCCCUCAGGGAAAUAGUGUGUUUCCUUCCUGAGAACAAGAUCUAGCUCGGUGCAUUGGGAGGUAUCUGAAGGCAACAAUAAAUACCGAAGCGCCCUCUGCUGCCCAUAUAAAGUCAGGACACGAGUUACAAAAGCCAGAUGGCACCAAGUCUCAGCAAGUGGAGGAAACAUUAAGCUCUUAAGAACGUUUAAUCUGUGAAAUUUAAAAGCUCUCAUCAUAUUUUGCUUCUGAAAGGGCCACCUGAUUUUUAUUUUGAACAUUUCUUGAGUCAUUGCUUUCUACUCUGUAGGAUAGUGAAAAGUCACUAUUUUGAAAUUUACCGUGUCAUUUCUGUAUUAGUAUUUUGUGCUUUUCCUUUCCCAGAUUUUAUUUGGAACAUAAAAUUCCAAAUCAGAACGGAAGACCUCUAUGCUAGGAGUUGAAUGGAGCAAUUUUUUUCUAUUUUUUCCAUGCCUAAGAUCUAAUAAUGGAAAAAAAAUAAUUAAAAUAAAGAUACAAAGCAUAGAUUAAUUGUUUUGAAGCUAUAAUUUCAAAAAAUUAAGGAAUUUCCAAUGUAAAGAAUUAUUUUUGUUGUUUUGCUUUGAUAAUUAACUGAGAUUUUGCUCAUACUUUAAAUUUGGGAAUAAAAAGUUAGUUGUGUUAAGAAAGAAGUUAAGAAAUCUGCACCACUCUUACGUAUAUGAUUUUGGCCCUGGAAACCUUCUUAAUUUAUAUCCAUAUUCAGUUUGCAAAGACUCAGCAAAGAACCCACUGUAAGUAGAAAUAAUCAGAUAUGUAGAUAUGGCGGCAGUAUGUGCAAACCCAGGAGAAAUGUUAUUUGCAUUAAAAUGAGUUUUUCAAUAUUGAUAAAUUUAUUCUCAAAUGAAAGUCUUAUUAAAAGGUUAAAAC